GAUGAAAACGUAGCGAAAUGCGAUAAGUAAUGUGAAUUGCAGAAUUCAGUGAAUCAUCGAAUCUUUGAACGCACAUUGCGCCCCCUGGUAUUCCGGGGGGCAUGCCUGUUCGAGCGUCAUUUCAACCCUCAAGCUCUGCUUGGUAUUGGGCGUCGCCGGGGAGUCUCCCCGGCGUGCCUCAAAGCCAUCGGCGGUGGUGCCUUUCUCUAAGCGUGGUAGAAUUUUUAUUCGCUUCUGAGUUGGGCUUCGCCUGCCGGACAAACCGGGCCCUCGCGGCCCACCUUAUCAGGUUGACCUCGGAUCAGGUAGGGAUACCCGCUGAACUUAAGCAUAUCAAUAAGCGGAGGA
Molecule: unclassified non-coding RNA, 348 nt
Filed under: soil metagenome
Description: partial contains 5.8S ribosomal RNA, internal transcribed spacer 2, and large subunit ribosomal RNA
Rfam family: 5.8S ribosomal RNA (bases 1-119)
Source: RNAcentral